GACGCGGUGACCGAGUUGUUAAGAUGAUGGAUUGCUAAUCCAUUGAGGUUUCCCGCAUGGGUUCGAAUCCCAUCUCCGUCG
This is a transfer RNA of Clonorchis sinensis, 81 nucleotides long. It matches the Rfam family "tRNA". Rfam says of the family: Transfer RNA (tRNA) molecules are approximately 80 nucleotides in length. Their secondary structure includes four short double-helical elements and three loops (D, anti-codon, and T loops). NCBI's taxonomy places the organism in Eukaryota, Metazoa, Platyhelminthes, Trematoda, Opisthorchiida, Opisthorchiidae. The record is from Rfam.